This 429-nucleotide small RNA is filed under the name Pongo abelii (Sumatran orangutan). RNAcentral's name for it is "processed transcript". The record is from RNAcentral. Lineage: Eukaryota; Metazoa; Chordata; Mammalia; Primates; Hominidae.
AAAACUCCCCAAAGUGUGUCCAUCCCCUUUUGACUGGGUAUCCUUGGAGUUCUUAACUCUGAGAGUUGUGCACCCUGAGCAUCCAGCAGUUCGUCGAUCACAGUUCCAAAGUUCCUACCGACACUGGUUCCUGUGGAGGUUUCUGUUCCUGGGUUUCUGCUCUGAUCCCUCCUGCAUGGAAAAACUACUUUCAAAAGAUUGGAAGGAAAAAAUGGAAAGACUAAAUACCAGUGAACUUCUUGGAGAAAUUAAAGGUACACCUGAGAGCCUGGCAGAAAAAGAACGGCAGCUCUCCACCAUGAUUACCCAGCUGAUCAGUUUACGGGAGCAGCUACUGGCAGCGCAUGAUGAACAGAAAAAACUGGCAGCCUCACAAAUUGAGAAACAACGGCAGCAAAUGGACCUUGCUCGCCAACAGCAAGAACAGGU